RNAcentral lists this transfer RNA (65 nucleotides) under Opisthotropis latouchii. Its description in RNAcentral is "tRNA-Ser". The record is from RNAcentral. Lineage: Eukaryota; Metazoa; Chordata; Lepidosauria; Squamata; Natricidae.
AAGAAAGCAUAGUAUGCGGUUAACUUGAAAUUAACAGGUGGCAGAGUAGACCCUGCCCUUUCUCG